GGGGUUGUGGCUCAGUGAUAGAGUGCUCGCCUAGCAUAUGUGGGGCACUGUGUUCGAUCCUCAGCACCACA
RNAcentral lists this transfer RNA (71 nucleotides) under Marmota monax (woodchuck). RNAcentral's name for it is "tRNA.Ala". The record is from RNAcentral. Lineage: Eukaryota; Metazoa; Chordata; Mammalia; Rodentia; Sciuridae.